This 368-nucleotide ribosomal RNA is filed under the name uncultured organism. Its description in RNAcentral is "bacterial SSU rRNA". It matches the Rfam family "Bacterial small subunit ribosomal RNA", at positions 526 to 896 of the family's 1533-position model. The record is from RNAcentral.
CGGAGGGUGCAAGCGUUAUCCGGAUUCACUGGGUUUAAAGGGUGCGUAGGUGGAUUGGUAAGUCAGUGGUGAAAUCUCCAGGCUUAACUUGGAAACCGCCAUUGAUACUAUCAAUCUUGAAUACCGUGGAGAUGAGCGGAAUAUGUCAUGUAGCGGUGAAAUGCUUAGAUAUGACAUAGAACACCAAUUGCGAAGGCAGCUCGUUACACGAAUAUUGACACUGAUGCACGAAAGCGUGGGGAUCAAACAGGAUUAGAUACCCUGGUAGUCCACGCCCUAAACGAUGGAUACUCGACAUUUGCGAUAAACUGCAAGUGUCUGAGCGAAAGCAUUAAGUAUCCCACCUGGGAAGUACGACCGCGAGGUUG